UACGGAGGGUGCAAGCGUUAUCCGGAUUCACUGGGUUUAAAGGGUGCGUAGGCGGUCUAAUAAGUCAGUGCUGAAAUAUCCCGGCUUAACCGGGAGGGUGGCAUUGAUACUGUUGGACUUGAGUAGAGUUGAGGUUGGCGGAAUUGACGGUGUAGCGGUGAAAUGCUUAGAUAUCGUCAAGAACACCGAUAGUGAAGACAGCUAACUAAGCUCAAACUGACGCUGAGGCACGAAAGUGUGGGGAUCGAACAGG
RNAcentral lists this ribosomal RNA (253 nucleotides) under uncultured bacterium. RNAcentral describes it as "partial 16S ribosomal RNA". It matches the Rfam family "Bacterial small subunit ribosomal RNA", at positions 524 to 776 of the family's 1533-position model. The record is from RNAcentral.